UUCGUGCCAGCAGCCGCGGUAAUACGAAGGGGGCUAGCGUUGCUCGGAAUUACUGGGCGUAAAGGGCGCGUAGGCGGCUCUGUAAGUCAGGGGUGAAAUUCCUGGGCUUAACCUGGGGGCUGCGCUUGAGACUGCGGGGCUUGAGGUCAGAAGAGGGUCGUGGAAUUCCCAGUGUAGAGGUGAAAUUCGUAGAUAUUGGGAAGAACACCGGUGGCGAAGGCGGCGACCUGGUCUGAUACUGACGCUGAGGCGCGACAGCGUGGGGAGCAAACAGGAUUAGAUACCCUGGUAGUCCACGCCGUAAACGAUGUGCGCUGGAUGUUGGGGCCCUUAGGGCUUCAGUGUCGUAGCUAACGCGGUAAGCGCACCGCCUGGGGAGUACGGCCGCAAGGUUGAAACUCAAAGGGAAUUGACAGA
This 417-nucleotide ribosomal RNA is filed under the name uncultured bacterium. Its description in RNAcentral is "bacterial SSU rRNA". It matches the Rfam family "Bacterial small subunit ribosomal RNA", at positions 502 to 917 of the family's 1533-position model. The record is from RNAcentral.